This 467-nucleotide ribosomal RNA is filed under the name uncultured bacterium. RNAcentral describes it as "partial 16S ribosomal RNA". It matches the Rfam family "Bacterial small subunit ribosomal RNA", at positions 30 to 507 of the family's 1533-position model. The record is from RNAcentral.
AGUGAACGCUGGCGGUAGGCCUAACACAUGCAAGUCGAACGGCAGCACAGUAAGAGCUUGCUCUUACGGGUGGCGAGUGGCGGACGGGUGAGGAAUACAUCGGAAUCUACUUUUUCGUGGGGGAUAACGUAGGGAAACUUACGCUAAUACCGCAUACGACCUACGGGUGAAAGCAGGGGAUCUUCGGACCUUGCGCGAUUGAAUGAGCCGAUGUCGGAUUAGCUAGUUGGCGGGGUAAAGGCCCACCAAGGCGACGAUCCGUAGCUGGUCGGAGAGGAUGAUCAGCGACGCUGGGAAUGAGACAAGGCCCAGACUCCGAAGGGAGGCAGCAGGGGGGAAUAGUGGAUAAGGGGCGAAAGCAGGAGCCAGCAAUGCCGCGUGAGUGAUGAAGGCCUUAGGGUUGGAAAGCUCUUGUACACGGGAUGAUAAGGACAGUAACGGGAGAAUAAGCUCCGGCUAACGCCGGG